CCUGCUUUACCCAUUUCAAAUGUCACAGCAAAUGCUGUGAAUACAGCCCAGCAAUUUUUGCUCACAGGAAGAAGCGCUACAUGAGAGCAUCUUGUCAACGCUCCCCCUAGGAAGACUUAUCUAUGCAGGUGCCAGCACCUGGAAGAGGAGUAACUGUUGGAUUCCUCAUUCCCUCCUUGUUCCAGGAGCCUGUGCAAGACCAUCUCCAUCAUGAUCAUCGGAUACCAGCUCUCUGUAACAUAACAGGAAGAAAAGUUGAAUUUUUUCCAGUGAGCGGAAGUUCUUGUGAAACAUAGUCAGAAACACGGGGCGACCUCAUCGAAGUGGACCAUUGAGUUUCAGUCUAAAUGCUAGAACAUCCCCGAAGUAAUCCCCUCCAGCCACUCUACAGACCUGAUCUCAGUUCAGUGGUGGAGAAGGGAAUUUCCUAGAUGUGUGAAGCGUCUUUGGGAAGACAGGGGAGAAAAUGACAAGCAGAAAUAUAAAAUCAUACAGCGGGAGCCAUUGCACGAAUCAAGAGAGAGGAGUGGUCCUGGUGGCUGAGGGUCAGCACCCUGUGGCAGGGGAAGCACUCACAGACCAAGAGGUUUAGUAAGAUCUUGACAUUCCUACAGUCCUAUGUAACUUAUUAACCACCAAGCAAGCAGCCUGCUGCCCUGCAGGAGAACAGGCAGGCUGGGGUACGGGGAGGAGAGAAGUUUGCUCAGCUAGCAGAAGUCCCAAGGCUGAAGCUCCAGGCCUCCUUUCCAUACGUGCUCCAGUGCUGUCUGAGUUGCUUCACAAGGACUUUCUGCUCAUGCUCUGCCAGACAGUCUGGAGACAGUUUGCUGGAGGAGUGGGAAAGAAACCAGGAAACACUUCAGGUCACCUCCUUCCCCUGCCACCUCCCUGCGAAAAGCUAGAGGAUGACCUUGCAGAGAACUGCAAAGAUCUGUGGUCCUGGUGAAGCUUGACGAGAAGCCAGUGAGGAGCAUCACUCCGGGUUAAGGGUGGGCUGCUGGGAUGCGUGGGGAGGAGAUCCCACCCUUCCUCUGUCCGGGUGCCCAGUGAAAAUCAUGUUGGAUCAUGCUUUUGAAGCAGAUGACAAAGGGAAACUUCUUGCAAUCAUCUUUCCAGAGGGUACCUCCAGAUCACAGGCAGCGCGUGGAAACAACUGGGAAAAUAAAGCCCUGCCACAACAGCUUUGCUAAUUUUUCUUGGAAAUGCCUUGGUAUUGCUUUGAAAACUACUAUGAAAACAACCGAUGGCUCCUUGGGACUGUCCAGGAUGGCAGAACUGGAAUCCAUUUCCAUCACUGCAUUAAAAUUCAUGGAAGGCACAAACGAGUUGCUGAGAUUUUCAUGCCACUGUCACCAGGAGCUGAAUAAAAAUCAUAUUAAAUUUACUUUACAUUCUGCAACAGCUGGCAGCCAUGUCUUGAAGUGUUUUUCAAGCCAGUGGGCUAAAGAAUAAUCAGGAUCCUUUCAAGUCAAGGCGUUUUCCUGUUAAUUUAAUGUGGUUGGCUUUGCCAGUGGGACAGAUUUUCCAACAUGCUCAGCUGUUUUCUGAGUCUGGCCUCUUCUUUUGGUGCCUGAGCUGAAGAGAAGUUCCUUAAUAAAAUAAAUGACCCCAUGAUUUCCUGGGAUGCCAUCUCAGGCAGUCUCAGUCACUGUCUGGAGGUGCUGGAUGAUGCCACCAUACAGGGACCAAGCUCAUCCUGCACCAGCCCAGCACAACCCCAGGAACAGCACCCAAACCUCCCAGAUUUGUAAUAAUCCUGGAAAUAUGACAGAUCUGCUGUAUUUUAUUUUGGUGAUGCAAAAAGUGUAAAGCAUGCAAAAAGAAGAGUAUUCCUCUCUCUCUGUUUUUCCCCCUUCUUUCCUCCCUGAAAAUGUUAUCCCAGCCUAAAAAAGCUUU
Falco peregrinus (peregrine falcon) is the source of this 1896-nucleotide long non-coding RNA. RefSeq lists it as uncharacterized. The transcript is spliced from 8 exons. The record is from RefSeq and is a predicted model, not a curated record. NCBI's taxonomy places the organism in Eukaryota, Metazoa, Chordata, Aves, Falconiformes, Falconidae.